Molecule: ribosomal RNA, 248 nt
Filed under: uncultured bacterium
Lineage: Bacteria
Description: partial 16S ribosomal RNA
Rfam family: Bacterial small subunit ribosomal RNA
Source: RNAcentral
AUACGUAGGGCGCGAGCGUUGUCCGGAAUUAUUGGGCGUAAAGAGCUCGUAGGCGGCUUGUCGCGUCUGCUGUGAAAACGCGGGGCUUAACUCCGCGCGUGCAGUGGGUACGGGCAGGCUAGAGUGUGGUAGGGGUGACUGGAAUUCCUGGUGUAGCGGUGGAAUGCGCAGAUAUCAGGAGGAACACCGAUGGCGAAGGCAGGUCACUGGGCCAUUACUGACGCUGAGGAGCGAAAAGCAUGGGGAGC